Molecule: ribosomal RNA, 1309 nt
Filed under: Trichothecium sympodiale
Lineage: Eukaryota; Fungi; Ascomycota; Sordariomycetes; Hypocreales
Description: SSU rRNA
Rfam family: Eukaryotic small subunit ribosomal RNA
Source: RNAcentral
ACGUCAGUAUGCAUUGUCUCAAAAUGAUUAAGCCUAUGCAGUGUCUAAGUAUAAGCAAUUAUACAGCGAAACUGCGAAUGGCUCAUUAUAUAAGUUAUCGUUUAUUUGAUAGUACCUUACUACUUGGAUAACCGUGGUAAUUCUAGAGCUAAUACAUGCUAAAAACCCCGACUUCGGAAGGGGUGUAUUUAUUAGAUUAAAAACCAAUGCCCUUCGGNUCCUUGGUGAUUCAUGAUAACUUCUCGAAUCGCACGGCCUUGCGCCGGCGAUGGUUCAUUCAAAUUUCUUCCCUAUCAACUUUCGAUGUUUGGGUAUUGGCCAAACAUGGUUGCAACGGGUAACGGAGGGUUAGGGCUCGACCCCGGAGAAGGAGCCUGAGAAACGGCUACUACAUCCAAGGAAGGCAGCAGGCGCGCAAAUUACCCAAUCCCGACACGGGGAGGUAGUGACAAUAAAUACUGAUACAGGGAUAUUUUGGGUCUUGUAAUUGGAAUGAGUACAAUCUAAAUCCCUUAACGANNNNNUAUAUUAAAGUUGUUGUGGUUAAAAAGCUCGUAGUUGAACCUUGGGCCUGGCUGGCGGUCCGCCUCACCGCGUGCACUGGUCCGGCCGGGCCUUUCCCUCUGUGGAACCCCAUGCCCUUUACUGGGCGUGGCGGGGAAACAGGACUUUUACUUUGAAAAAAUUAGAGUGCUCCAGGCAGGCCUAUGCUCGAAUACAUUAGCAUGGAAUAAUAAAAUAGGACGUGCGGUUCUAUUUUGUUGGUUUCUAGGACCGCCGUAAUGAUUAAUAGGGACAGUCGGGGGCAUCAGUAUUCAAUUGUCAGAGGUGAAAUUCUUGGAUUUAUUGAAGACUAACUACUGCGAAAGCAUUUGCCAAGGAUGUUUUCAUUAAUCAGGAACGAAAGUUAGGGGAUCGAAGACGAUCAGAUACCGUCGUAGUCUUAACCAUAAACUAUGCCGACUAGGGAUCGGACGAUGUUACUUAUUGACUCGUUCGGCACCUUACGAGAAAUCAAAGUGCUUGGGCUCCAGGGGGAGUAUGGUCGCAAGGCUGAAACUUAAAGAAAUUGACGGAAGAGGCACACCAGGGGUGGCANGCGGCUUAAUUUGACUCAACACGGGGAAACUCACCAGGUCCAGACACAAUAAGGAUUGACAGAUUGAGAGCUCUUUCUUGAUUUUGUGGGUGGUGGUGCAUGGCCGUUCUUAGUUGGUGGAGUGAUUUGUCUGCUUAAUUGCGAUAACGAACGAGACCUUAACCUGCUAACUAGCCCGUAUUGCUUUGCAGUACGCCGGCUUCUUAGAGG